Pelobates cultripes (western spadefoot toad) is the source of this 280-nucleotide non-coding RNA. The record is from the annotation of a GenBank genome assembly. Lineage: Eukaryota; Metazoa; Chordata; Amphibia; Anura; Pelobatidae.
CUGUUAACUUGCUGCCUAAUAUUUCCCACACGUGCCAUUGUAAUAUAAUCAAUAUUACCUGUCAGUGGUUUUAAUGUUGUGGCUGGUCAAUGUAGUGGUGAUGGUGAUUGUAGUGUUCCUUUAACUAGCAUGUUGGGCAAAAAUACCCAAAGAAUUAUAUAUUGGUAGACAUUGACUGCUGCUGACAUCUGGUGUUAUGUUAUGACAUUAUACCACUCUUUUUUCUGCACUGCUCAUAUCUGGCUAUACAACAAAAUGACAGAUUAACAUGCAAUUUCCU